CAAAGUAAGAUCUACAAAUAAGUUAAUAUGACCAAAAUUGUCAAUUGACCCCUUAAGGGGUUAUUGUCCUUUAAUGACAAUUUUUCACAAUUUGUUCAUCAUAUUUGCUAACUUUAAAAAAUCUUCUCCUCUGAAACUGCUGAAUGGAUUUGAAUGAAACUUAGCAUGAUUGUUCCUUAGAUUAUCCUGCACAAAGUGUGUGCUUCGAUUUUUGAUCCGUCAAAAAACAUGGCCACCGUUACUUAAAAUAGAACAUAGGG
This 260-nucleotide long non-coding RNA is filed under the name Mytilus galloprovincialis (Mediterranean mussel). Lineage: Eukaryota; Metazoa; Mollusca; Bivalvia; Mytilida; Mytilidae. The record is from RNAcentral.